This 939-nucleotide unclassified non-coding RNA is filed under the name Schistocerca americana (American grasshopper). RNAcentral describes it as "uncharacterized LOC124619746, transcript variant X1". Lineage: Eukaryota; Metazoa; Arthropoda; Insecta; Orthoptera; Acrididae. The record is from RNAcentral.
UGACCUCUCAUGUGGCACAGUUCAGUCAACGACACCAUAUAAGAAGGCCACAGAAAUCCCUUGGUUUCAGCAUUUUAUGUUCACUGAAUCAAAAUAAACAAAAUGCCAUCAAACUGGAAGAGGCCAGCUGAUGUUGCAUUUCCUCAAGUUUGGGCUAGGUGUGAAGGCAAAACAACUUUAGCAGAUGGUUCUAAGCUCGUCUACAGAAUACAGGAUGCCACUCCUGAAAUGCAUGAAGAAAUUGUUGACAGACUCAUGAUGGUAUACUUUGUCCGAGAUGAGGAUAUUUGCAAGACAAUUAAUUUAAUGGCAGAUAAAACAUCUAUGGAAGACACUAGAAUAAUGUGGAAGGAAUCACUAAGGCAGAAUGUUGGUCUUGUAGCUAUAAGAGAAUAUCCAGAUGGUCAAGAAGAAAUCAUUGGGACCAAUAUAACAUGUGUUGUCACCAAAGGAGAGAAAUCAAAUCCUGAUGAGGUGAAAGGCGAGGCAAUGAGAAAAAUUUGGCGUAUGUUGAUGGAAGAUCUACCAAAGCAACUUGAUGUAUUUGAGCAUUAUGGGGUGGACCACUACAUGAGUGCUGUGGGACUAACUGUAUUACCAAAAUACAGAGGACAAAAUGUGGGACUUGAGAUUUUACGUGCUCGAUUUCAACUUGUGAAAGGUGUUGGACUGAAGGCAACAGCAACAGCUUUCACUGCCAUGGCCUCUCAAAAACAAGCACAGCGUGCAGGCUAUGAGUUGUUGACUGAAAUGGUAUAUAAUGAUUACAAGGUAGAUGGAAAAGUUGUCUUCCCAGGGAUGACCACACCAUCAGUGAAAUAUAUGGGCAAAUACAUACCUUGAUGAGCAGAACAUAAACUGUAAUGGUCUUUCAGAAACAAAGUAGCAGAGAAAGUGUGUGUGUGUGUGUGUGUGUGUGUGUGUGUGUGUGUGUGUGUG